Molecule: ribosomal RNA, 537 nt
Filed under: uncultured bacterium
Lineage: Bacteria
Description: partial 16S ribosomal RNA
Rfam family: Bacterial small subunit ribosomal RNA
Source: RNAcentral
UGGGGAAUUUUGGACAAUGGGGGCAACCCUGAUCCAGCAAUGCCGCGUGUGUGAAGAAGGCCUUCGGGUUGUAAAGCACUUUUGUCCGGGAAGAAAUCCCCUGCCCUAAUACGGCGGGGGGAUGACGGUACCGGAAGAAUAAGCACCGGCUAACUACGUGCCAGCAGCCGCGGUAAUACGUAGGGUGCGAGCGUUAAUCGGAAUUACUGGGCGUAAAGCGUGCGCAGGCGGUGAUGUAAGACCGAUGUGAAAUCCCCGGGCUCAACCUGGGGAACUGCAUUGGUGACUGCAUUGCUCGAGUAUGGCAGAGGGGGGUGGAAUUCCACGUGUAGCAGUGAAAUGCGUAGAGAUGUGGAGGAACACCGAUGGCGAAGGCAGCCCCCUGGGCCAAUACUGACGCUCAUGCACGAAAGCGUGGGGAGCAAACAGGAUUAGAUACCCUGGUAGUCCACGCCCUAAACGAUGUCAACUGGUUGUCGGGCCUUCAUUGGCUUGGUAACGUAGCUAACGCGUGAAGUUGACCGCCUGGGGGAGUAC